UGCACAGCAAAGGAAACAAGAAUGUGAAGAGAGAAUCUCCAGAAUCAGAGAAAAUCUUUGCUAGUCAUUCUUCUAACAAAGGAUUAAUAUGUGGAAUAUGUAAAGAACAAAGUUAAUACCAAAAAAAAAAAAUUAAGAGAUGGACAAAUGAACUCAACAGGGAAAUGGAUACUUGAGAACGUUGUGGCAAAACAAGUCAAACUCAAAGUCAAGCAUGGUAUGCUUUCUCUCAUACAUGGAA
Urocitellus parryii (Arctic ground squirrel) is the source of this 241-nucleotide non-coding RNA. Lineage: Eukaryota; Metazoa; Chordata; Mammalia; Rodentia; Sciuridae. The record is from RefSeq and is a predicted model, not a curated record.